AAAUAUACUAAACAUACUGAACUGCACACUUUAAAUGGGAGAGUUUUAUGGGCUCGCAGUCAAAAUGAACAUUUGCUCAGUGGAUUCAUGACUAGCCUGUUUCAUCAGACGCCAUAUAUGCUGAGGUUAACCAAACUCGUGAGCAAGCAUAUACUUCAAACAAGAUGAGCAAACGACACACACAGCCAGCCACACCCGUGCACUCCUGAUUCAUGGAACCAAGAGGACAAGAAGGGGCUUCUGAGGCCAAUCCAAAGGAAGCAGGAGAUGGAGAGAAAGAAGAGGGAAAGAAGAAGAGAGGCAGACAAAGAGAAAGAGACAGAGACAGAGAGAGACAGACAAACAGAGAUACAGAGAGACCGAACCAGACAGAGAUGGAGAGCGAGGCGAGCCCGGGCGACAACAGGGCUGGGGAGCUUUCCUCAGUGGUGUUCUUCAGGUGCAGAGUUUGAAUAAAAAUGCAAAACAGGAUGCUCCCAUUC
RNAcentral lists this long non-coding RNA (482 nucleotides) under Equus caballus (horse). RNAcentral describes it as "lncRNA (ENSECAG00000060059.1)". The record is from RNAcentral. Lineage: Eukaryota; Metazoa; Chordata; Mammalia; Perissodactyla; Equidae.